Molecule: non-coding RNA, 1849 nt
Organism: Rattus norvegicus (Norway rat)
Lineage: Eukaryota; Metazoa; Chordata; Mammalia; Rodentia; Muridae
Source: RefSeq, a predicted model, not a curated record
CUGUGGCCUGAGUUCACCAGGCAGGUCGCUUGGAGCAGAAAAGUUGGUCUUACCUGUGGUCCUGCGGAUGAAGUUGCUCAUGGGUGGUUGCUUUUGAGCUCUCCAUGAGAGCGGCAACCAGGAGGGCCUGCGCUGCCUUUUCCAGGAGGCCCCCUGCACCGCGGUCCCAGAUGGCAUUUAGGUGUUUUCCUCUGGAGUAAGAAAUGUGGGCAGAGUGCACACACUUCUGGCUUCCCAGGUGUGUCUGCCCCUCUGAAGUUUUAGCUCUCCCUCCCACGGGAUUUGGGUGCAUAGAACUGUUUGCCGGGUCCCUUCAGGUCCGGGUGGUGUCUGGCCUGCAGUGGACCUGCCACUUGAGUGCGAGAGGCAUUCUUUUUCAAAACAUUUUUUUUUACAAUGUGCCAGAAUGAAUGGCAAAAUAAAAUCGACAAGUUGAAAAUAAAAUGUCAGAAAUAAAAAUCAAUAAUGAUUCAUAACUGUAUGAAAACAUUAUAUGGGAUAUAAUGUAAAUUAUUGAGAUUUAAAAACCUACAUAGCUAACACAUCUGGAAAAAAUAAGAAUAGAAGAUUUGACCCAAAUUUCAAGACUUCAUAAUUUUGUCUUGCUAAGUAAAGCUUAUAAUACUUACGAUUAAUUACUAAUGACUUAAUCCAUAUCUAAGGAAGAAGAUGAGGCAGAUGACCAGCCUGCUCCCUCUCAUAUCCCACAAAUUUCCCAGGAAUUCUGCCCUAUCCAGUGAUACAGGAAGGUUGCUCUAACCAGGGACACAGGAUGCUUGCACUAUCCAAGUUCAAAGGAGCCCCUCCCCUUCAUUGAGAGACAGCACUUCUUGUCUUCCAGGAGGCCUGCUCUAACCCAUGUCACAGAGCUCUCCAGCUCCCAAGGAGGCCAUCUCUAGUCACAGACACCCAGCCCAGUUAACACCACAGGUGACCAGGUGGCAAGCAACAGAAGCCAAUGUAAUUUGGCAACAAUGAAACCCAGCUCUCUCACCACAGCAAGCCUUAAAUACCCUAACAUAGGUGAAAGGCAAUAUACUGACAUAAAAUUCCAUUCCAUUAUAUUGAUAGAGGCCUUCAAGAAGAAUACAAAUAGUAUCCUUAAAGAAAUAUAGGAAACACAGGCAUAGAGGUAGAAAAUGCUUACCAAUGAAACAGUCCUCUGCUGCUGGGGGUAUUGAAAACUGGUACAAACUCUCUGGCAAUCAAUCUGGUGAUUCCUGAGAAAACUGGAAAUGAUUCUUCCUGAAGAGCCAGCUAUACUACUCCUGUAUAUAUACCCUAAAGAUGCUACACCAUAUUUCAUGGACAUGUACUCCAUUAUGUUACGGCCUAUGUUCACCUUAUUUAUAAUAGCCAGAACCUGGAAGCUUACAGAUGUCCCUCAACUGAAGAAUAUGUACAGAGAAUGUGACUCAUUUGCAUAAUGGAACACUAUUCAGCUAAUAAAAACAAGGAUAUCAUGAAUUUGCAGUGUAAGGAAAUGGAACAAGAUGGCUUUCCUGGUAAAGGCAUUUACCACUAACCUGAUGACCUGAGAUUGAUCUCUGGACCCGACACUUUAGAGGGAGAGGAAUGAAUGCUGCAAGUUGUCCUCUGACCUCCACAUUCUUAUGGUUGCAUUUGUGUACCUACCUCCACAAAACACAAUAAACACAUGAGAUGUUUAAGAUGGAGAGCAUACUUCUGUGUUAUAAAGCAAAAUUCCUAAAACACUGCUUGGGAUAUGAUAAUCUCUGAUCCUUGGCAAUACCUCUCCUUUAGGAAUGUCUUCUGCUAUAUCUCCACACAGGAAAGGCAAAAGUAUGUGAUGAAGAUGUGAAAAAAUAAAUCAAAUCUGUCUCUGUGA